Molecule: long non-coding RNA, 279 nt
Filed under: Homo sapiens (human)
Lineage: Eukaryota; Metazoa; Chordata; Mammalia; Primates; Hominidae
Description: HSALNT0110147
Source: RNAcentral
CCCCUGACCGGUGUGCCGCUGCACCACAUUGCUCUUCCUUUCUUUCCGUGGAUCACGCCAGCCACCUAGUCAGUUCUGAUGAGAGAACCUGGAUACCUUGGUUGCCAGUGCAGGAUCCACACACUAAUUAUGGUUCUUUUUGAUGGGAGCCCCGGAUUGCUGCUGCUUCUAUUCGGCCAUCUUGUCCCCACCCCGGGAUGACAUCUAGGUGCAAGAUCCCAGCCCCACGCCUCAUUCUCCACAAGCUCCUCUGACGUCUUCCAACCCAAGAACAUCAAG